This is a non-coding RNA of Acanthosepion pharaonis, 109 nucleotides long. Lineage: Eukaryota; Metazoa; Mollusca; Cephalopoda; Sepiida; Sepiidae. The record is from the annotation of a GenBank genome assembly.
UUACGGCCACAUCACGUUGAAACAUUGGUUCCCGUACAAUCACCGAAGUUAAACAACGCUGAGCCUGGUCAAUACCUAGACUGGUGACCGCUUGGGAAGACCAGGUGUU